RNAcentral lists this ribosomal RNA (406 nucleotides) under uncultured bacterium. RNAcentral's name for it is "partial 16S ribosomal RNA". It matches the Rfam family "Bacterial small subunit ribosomal RNA", at positions 28 to 526 of the family's 1533-position model. The record is from RNAcentral.
GACGAACGCUGGCGGCGUGCUUAACACAUGCAAGUCGAGCGAAGCGGCGGACGGGUGAGUAACACGUGAGUAACCUGCCUUAGACCUUGGGAUAGCCUCGGGAAACCGGGAUUAAUACCAAAUGGUCUAAGAUGGACUCGCGUCCCAUUAGCUAGUUGGUGAGGUAACGGCCCACCAAGUCGACGAUGGGUAGCCGGCCUGAGAGGGUGAACGGCCACAUUGGAACUGAGAAACGGUCCAAACUCUACGGGAGGCAGCAGUGGGAAUAUUGCACAAGGGAGGGAACGCUGAUGCAGCGACGCCGCGUGAACGAAUAAGGCUUUCGAGUCGUAAAGUUCUUUUAUAUGGGAAGCGGUACCAUAAGAAAAAGCCCCGGCUAACUACGUGCCAGCAGCCGCGGUAAUUC